Molecule: ribosomal RNA, 434 nt
Filed under: uncultured bacterium
Lineage: Bacteria
Description: partial 16S ribosomal RNA
Rfam family: Bacterial small subunit ribosomal RNA
Source: RNAcentral
AGCGAACGCUGGCGGCAGGCCUAACACAUGCAAGUCGAACGAACAUAUCGGGGUUAGUGGCGGACGGGUGAGUAACACGUCGGAACGUGCCUUUAGGUUCGGAAUAACUCAGGGAAACUUGUGCUAAUACCGAAUGUGCCCUUCGGGGGAAAGAUUAAUCGCCUUUAGAGCGGCCCGCGUCUGAUUAGCUAGUUGGUUGAGGUAAUGGCUCACCAAGGCGACGAUCAGUAGCUGGUCUGAGAGGAUGAUCAGCCACAUUGGGACUAAGACACGGCCGAAACUCCUACGGGAGGCAGCAGUGGGGAAUCUUGCGCAAUGGGCGAAAGCCUGACGCAGCCAUGCCGCGUGAAUGAUGAAGGUCGUAGGAUUGUAAAAUUCUUUCAACGGGGACGAUAAUGACGGUACCCGGAGAAGAAGCCCCGGCUAACUUCGUG